Non-coding RNA from Paramuricea clavata, 784 nucleotides. The record is from the annotation of a GenBank genome assembly. Lineage: Eukaryota; Metazoa; Cnidaria; Anthozoa; Malacalcyonacea; Plexauridae.
UCAGUCAACAUGUCUAUGCAGCCGUAUUCUGAUGAAGAGCUGAGCUACUUCAAGUUUGCGUCAAUUGUUCUAAAGGAAUUCCCUGAUGCUUUGCGUGGCAUGUUUGUACACAUGUGGGACACCAGAGUAGCACCAAGUUCCACAGUUUGGGAUGACUCGCCUCUUGUACGCAAUAUACUCCACAACAAUGAGGCUCCAAACACAAAAAUGCCGACGAACAACUCAUUUAAAGAGUGGGACUGCACUGCACUAUUUCAAGCUACUCUGUAUGCAAGAACAUUUGCGCUACCAGACAGCACAGGAAAGAAAAAGACGCUUGGAGAAAUGUAUUUAAAAGGACGAAAGCCCGCCUCUGCUCCAUUCCACUCUGUCGUGAGGAGCUCGAGUGGAGAUGUAAACGAGACGAUUGCACUUGCCAUUGAUCAGCUUCGUCUUUUACGAAACACCCUCUGUCAUACAUCCAGCCCUCAAAUUAAUAAAGUCACGUUCGAUGACUAUGUCAAGCACGCCAAAGACGCGUUCAGCGCUUUGAAUUUUAGCACGACAUCUCUGGAGAGGAUUGGCAACAUGAAAGAGUCGGAUUUUCCUACAAAGGAAGUAGAAAAACUCAAUGAAGGAAUCACUCGUCUGAGAAAUAACUUCUAUCUCUUUCUCGAAAGUGAGGUUAAGCAUGAAAUGAGUGGAGUGAAACAUGAAAUGAGUGAAGUGAAAUAUGAAAUGAAUGAAAUGAAACAUGAACUGAGUAGCAUUAAAGGUGUAUUAACACAGACAAAAGAUGCCACAG